GCGUGAGUGAUGAAGGUUUUCGGRUCGUAAAGCUCUGUCAAGGGGAAGAAACUCCCGGGUGAUAAUAACACUUGGGGCUGACGGUACCCUCAAAGGAAGACCGGCUAACUCCGUGCCAGCAGCCGCGGUAAUACGGAGGGUGCAAGCGUUGUUCGGAAUAUUGGGCGUAAAGCGCGUGUAGGCGGUUGGUUAAGUCUGAUGUGAAAGCCCUGGGCUCACCCGGGAAGUGCAUUGGAAACUGGCUAACUUGAGUACGGGAGAGGGAAGUGGAAUUCCA
RNAcentral lists this ribosomal RNA (277 nucleotides) under Desulfuromonas sp. Its description in RNAcentral is "partial 16S ribosomal RNA". It matches the Rfam family "Bacterial small subunit ribosomal RNA", at positions 399 to 671 of the family's 1533-position model. Lineage: Bacteria; Pseudomonadati; Thermodesulfobacteriota; Desulfuromonadia; Desulfuromonadales; Desulfuromonadaceae. The record is from RNAcentral.